CUACGGGCCGCACCAGGCGCGAAACCUUUACAAUGCACGAAAGUGUGAUAAGGGAAUCCAGAGUGCUUAGUUUUACUAGGCUUUUGCCAAGAGUAAAUAUCUUGGAGAAUAAGUGGUGGGAAAGACUGGUGCCAGCCGCCGCGGUAACACCAGCGCCACGAGUGGGAAUCCUUUUUAUUUGGCCUAAAGCGUCCGUAGCUGGUUAUGUAAAUCUCUUGUGAAAUUGUUCUGCUUAACAGAACAGCGUGCAGGAGAGACUGCAUAGCUAGGGACCGGGAGGAGUCAGAGGUAUGCUGUGGGGAGCGGUAAAAUGCUAUAAUCCUCGGUAGACCACCUGUGGCGAAGGCGUCUGACUAGAACGGGUCCGACAGUGAGGGACGAAAGCCAGGGGAGCAAACCGGAUUAGAUACCCUGGUAGUC
This 420-nucleotide ribosomal RNA is filed under the name uncultured archaeon. Its description in RNAcentral is "partial 16S ribosomal RNA". It matches the Rfam family "Archaeal small subunit ribosomal RNA", at positions 323 to 746 of the family's 1478-position model. The record is from RNAcentral.